CCUAGACCAGCGGGCCUCGAUCCCGCAAAAACUAGUUAACAACUAGGAGCCCAAGCCAGCGGGCCUCAGC
This 70-nucleotide transfer RNA is filed under the name Cyrtodactylus bapme. RNAcentral's name for it is "partial tRNA-Asx". The record is from RNAcentral. Lineage: Eukaryota; Metazoa; Chordata; Lepidosauria; Squamata; Gekkonidae.